CAGUCGCCGCGGUAAUACGUAGGUGGCAAGCGUUGUCCGGAAUUAUUGGGCGUAAAGGGCUCGCAGGCGGUUUCUUAAGUCUGAUGUGAAAGCCCCCGGCUCAACCGGGGAGGGUCAUUGGAAACUGGGAAACUUGAGUGCAGAAGAGGAGAGUGGAAUUCCACGUGUAGCGGUGAAAUGCGUAGAGAUGUGGAGGAACACCAGUGGCGAAGGCGACUCUCUGGUCUGUAACUGACGCUGAGGAGCGAAAGCGUGGGGAGCGGACGGGAUUAGAUACCCGGGUAGUCCCUGUCUCUUAUAC
RNAcentral lists this ribosomal RNA (301 nucleotides) under uncultured bacterium. Its description in RNAcentral is "partial 16S ribosomal RNA". It matches the Rfam family "Bacterial small subunit ribosomal RNA", at positions 509 to 807 of the family's 1533-position model. The record is from RNAcentral.